AUGUACCAUUUACACACUUUGCAGCAAUACAGGCAAUUAUAAACGAGGUAUUUAAAAAGGACCAGAAUCAGCAGUAAGUGUUGGCACUAAUGGCAGCAGCAGGAGCAGCAGUACGACGGGCCAGGGGAAACUCAGCCGCAAGACCAAAACAUCAUAAAUCAUCUCGACGCAGGCCAGGCUGGAGCCAGAUAAUGCUAAAUAGCAAAGCUGAAAGGCUAUUUUCACGCAGACUGAUCGGCAGCUACUGUAUGCUGCAGGCAGGGCAGCAGGUCUCUCUCCGGUCCGGAAGAGGGCAGAAGUCCAUCUGCCUAACGAUCUCGGCGAAAAGCUCGUCCACCAUGGUCUUGCUCUUGGCCGACGUCUCCAUGAAGGGGCAGCCCCAGUCUUCAGCCAGCGCCUGCCCCUCACUGGGGGACACUUCCCUCUCCUCUUCCAGGUCCACCUUGUUACCAACCAGCACCACUGGCACCUGCUGGUACCUGGAAAUGAGAGAAAAAAAGUAAUAUCAGAGGAGUAUAUAUCUGAAAUGUACUGCCUUUUCUCCCGCUGGGUGUGUUUUGUUACAGACUCAGACUACAGGAAUUUCCUGAUACAUAAGGGAGAAAGCAGGAGGGAAAGCGAGACUUAACUCAUUAGCAGCAAGUGUGUGUGUGUGUGUGUGUGUGUGUGCAUUGCUGGCCUACAUACUGUAUUUGUUAGAUGCUGAAACAAUAACGGUUUUGAACAAUACACAAUGAUGCGAGAGGAGAGGGAUAAACACAGCUACAUUCAGUUCCAGCUUCGCAGGAGGCCUCCAUCACUCCCCGGGUGUCUAAUACCAGUAGGCGGUCCCAUUAGAAAACUGUCAUCACGAAAAAAUAACUGCCUCUUUUGCACGCUGUGAUGCUCUAUUUAUCCCUGGAUUUAUUAUAUAUGAGUUAGCAAGCUGUACAUUUAAUGGCUUCCUAUGCUUGUUUGAAAUCAUCAGCUUUGUUUCCAUCAUGCACUAAGCAUGUCUUAACGGAUCAAAAGCUUUCUUCCUCAGAGUGUGGCUGACGAUCCCAGUCAUCUUGCCAUCAAUACACAGAAACCAGGCGGGGACUGGUAAUGUAUGGGUUAUUGAAUAAUUGAAUAAAGCUAAUGUGCUGCUCUCA
Molecule: long non-coding RNA, 1133 nt
Organism: Micropterus dolomieu (smallmouth bass)
Lineage: Eukaryota; Metazoa; Chordata; Actinopteri; Centrarchiformes; Centrarchidae
Exons: 3
Source: RefSeq, a predicted model, not a curated record